AGCUCUCAAAGUGUAUAUAGUCAUUGCUGCGGUUAAAAAGCUCGUAGUUGGAUCUGCGCCUCAGGACUCGGUCCGCCCACUGGGCGUGAACUGAGCUCCUAGGCUAAAACUGCUGGUUUUCCCUUCGUGGCCUUCACCGGUCGCGUUGGGUGGCUAGCGAGUUUACUUUGAAAAAAUUAGAGUGCUCAAAACAGGCUUUGCCUGAAUAUUCGUGCAUGGAAUAAUGGAAUAGGACUUCGGUUCUAUUUUGUUGGUUUUCUGAACGGAGGUAAUGGUUAAGAGGGACAGACGGGGGCAUUCGUAUCGCUGCGUGAGAGGUGAAAUUCUUGGACCGCAGCGAGACGCCCUACUGCGAAAGCAUUUGCCAAGAAUGUCUUCA
This 379-nucleotide ribosomal RNA is filed under the name uncultured eukaryote. Its description in RNAcentral is "SSU rRNA". It matches the Rfam family "Eukaryotic small subunit ribosomal RNA", at positions 587 to 972 of the family's 1831-position model. The record is from RNAcentral.